Molecule: non-coding RNA, 164 nt
Filed under: bovine gut metagenome
Description: Lysine riboswitch
Rfam family: Lysine riboswitch aptamer
About the family: Riboswitches are metabolite binding domains within certain messenger RNAs that serve as precision sensors for their corresponding targets. Allosteric rearrangement of mRNA structure is mediated by ligand binding, and this results in modulation of gene expression.
Source: RNAcentral
UAGAUAGAGGCGCGGUAUUCAUCAGUACCCCGCGGCAAGGACAGGCAGCCGCCGCAGGAGAAAGGGAACAUCGCCGAAGGAUCGGGAAGCUUGCCUGACUGACCGAUUCUGGGCCGUCCAAAAACAUUGGCCGGACUGUCACAAGACUUUGUGGAGCGCUAUCG